AUCGAACGCUGGCGGCAGGCCUAACACAUGCAAGUCGAGCGGAGCGGCGGACGGGGGAGUAAUGCCUAGGAAUCUGCCUGGGAGUGGGGGAUAACGUCCGGAAAUGGGCGCUAAUACCGCAUACUAUCAGAUGAGCCUAGGCCGGAUUAGCUAGUUGGGGGGGUAAAGGCCUACCAAGGCGACGAUCCGUAGCUGGUCUGAGAGGAUGAUCAGUCACACGGGAACUGAGACACGGUCCAGACUCCUACGGGAGGCAGCAGUGGGGAAUAUUGAACAAUGGGCGAAAGCCUGAGGCAGCCAUGCCGCGUGUGUGAAGAAGGUCUUCGGGUUGUAAAGCACUUUAAGCUGGGAGGCGUUACCAACAGAAGAAGCACCGGCUAACUUCGUGCCAGCAGCCGCGGUAAUAC
RNAcentral lists this ribosomal RNA (407 nucleotides) under uncultured bacterium. Its description in RNAcentral is "partial 16S ribosomal RNA". It matches the Rfam family "Bacterial small subunit ribosomal RNA", at positions 29 to 526 of the family's 1533-position model. The record is from RNAcentral.